RNAcentral lists this long non-coding RNA (1110 nucleotides) under Pogona vitticeps (central bearded dragon). Its description in RNAcentral is "lncRNA (ENSPVIG00000011215.1)". The record is from RNAcentral. Lineage: Eukaryota; Metazoa; Chordata; Lepidosauria; Squamata; Agamidae.
UUCAUACAUAUCACUGACAAUCUCUGACAUAUUUCUCUGCAGCCCAGGUACAAAAACAUCUGAUAGACUAAUGGAACAAACUCUGGACAGAACAGAAAACUUCAUGCAAUAACUCUUAUUUCUGUCUCAGCCCAGGGCCUUUGGUGUAGUACAACUUUACUUCCAGUGUUUAAAAAACCAGUUGAUUGCUAUGCUUGUGGAAAGAACCAAUGUUUCAGGACAGGAUAUUAUGAGGAUAACUAUUUGGUUUCCUGGGAAGCAGGCUGCACCGACGAGAACGUUAAGUGCAACUCAACAGAAACAGAAUAUGUUGAUGACACUAUUGUUUUACAAAAGAGAACCACUUGCUGCAACAGCUCCAAUGAUUGCAACCAGGGGCCUCCACCACAAUACAUCACAAGAAAUCAACUUGAUUAAUUCCCAGAGGAUCAUCAGUUAAAGGAAAAAUGUUACAGGCUGCAUCUAACAUCACUCUUACCUGUUGCACACAUGCUUCUUUCCAGGAAAACACAUCAUUCUGAAGCCUUGCCACUUCCAGUGUUCCAGACAUUACUAACUAACAAAAUCAUUCCUGGCAUGGUGUAUGGCUUCCUCUCAGAACUGUCGAAUCACAGAAAGGAAGAAUUGGAAGGGAAGCCAAGGACCAUCUAGUUCAACUCUCUAUUCCAUUAUCAAGCAGCACUUACUAUGAUAAAGUUCUCAGGAUAUCUUAUUUGGUUAAAGGAAAAAGUUAACAUGUGUCUUGAUCCACAGUGUCCAUCCUUAAUGCACACAUUCUCCAUUACUCUCUCCAUUAUUUUCAUUUUCUGUCUCAAGCACUUUCUUGCUGCUGCUUCUCCUGCUUUGUCUUCUUGAAUCCACCUUUCCUUCAAACAUGGUGUUCUAUUCAUCAUCACCUGACUUGAACUGAAAGUUUGUCUUUAUGCAGAGUCUGGAUGUCCACCUCCAGUAACCUUCUAAUUCUGUGAUUCCAUAAAAUCUGAGGAUGGGUCAUUGUGUUUAAUCUUGUGUCCUCUUUUUCUUCUCUAUUCCUCUCCCUUCCCAAAUGGUCCCACCUCCCUGCUGCUAAAAUGAAGCUUCUGAUACUUUUGUUCUCUAUGUAGUCUUACU